GGGCCGGUGGCUCAAUGGGUAGAGCGUUGGACUUGCAAUCCAAAGGUUAGGGGUUCGAUUCCCCUCGGGUCCA
This 73-nucleotide transfer RNA is filed under the name Desmophyllum pertusum. RNAcentral's name for it is "Lophelia pertusa tRNA". It matches the Rfam family "tRNA". Rfam says of the family: Transfer RNA (tRNA) molecules are approximately 80 nucleotides in length. Their secondary structure includes four short double-helical elements and three loops (D, anti-codon, and T loops). The record is from Rfam by way of RNAcentral. Lineage: Eukaryota; Metazoa; Cnidaria; Anthozoa; Scleractinia; Caryophylliidae.